Molecule: ribosomal RNA, 441 nt
Filed under: uncultured bacterium
Lineage: Bacteria
Description: partial 16S ribosomal RNA
Rfam family: Bacterial small subunit ribosomal RNA
Source: RNAcentral
CCUACGGGUGGCAGCAGUGGGGAAUAUUGCACAAUGGGGGAAACCCUGAUGCAGCGACGCCGCGUGAGUGAAGAAGUAUUUCGGUAUGUAAAGCUCUAUCAGCAGGGAAGAAAAAAGACGGUACCUGACUAAGAAGCCCCGGCUAACUACGUGCCAGCAGCCGCGGUAAUACGUAGGGGGCAAGCGUUAUCCGGAAUUACGGGGUGUAAAGGGAGCGUAGACGGCGCGGCAAGUCUGAAGUGAAAGGCGGGGGCUUAACCCCUGAACUGCUUUGGAAACUGCCAUGCUAGAGUGCUGGAGAGGUAAGUGGAAUUCCUGGUGUAGCGGUGAAAUGCGUAGAUAUUAGGAGGAACACCAGUGGCGAAGGCGGCUUACUGGACAGUAACUGACGUUGAGGCUCGAAAGCGUGGGGAGCAAACAGGAUUAGAUACCCUGGUAGUC